Molecule: ribosomal RNA, 360 nt
Filed under: Draculoides piscivultus
Lineage: Eukaryota; Metazoa; Arthropoda; Arachnida; Schizomida; Hubbardiidae
Description: partial small subunit ribosomal RNA
Source: RNAcentral
AAAGUUUAAGUUAAUGCCAAGAUUUUAUUUGUUUUUCAUAAUUAAGUUAAAAAGUAUUGGCGGUAUUUAGUUAAAUUCUGAGGAACUUGUUUAUUUAAAUAGAUAGUACACAUUAAAUUUUAUCUACAAUUAAAUGUUUAUAUAUUGCUGUUUAAUUUAUUAUUUAUUAUUUAUUAAUAAGUUUAGUUAAUUGGAAAUUAAGGAGUUCAAGUCAAAAUGUAGUUUUUUGUAGGGUUAAAUGAGUUACUUUUAUAUUGAAAUAUGGAACUGUAAAAUUAUUUGAAAUGAAAUAAUGAUGAAGGUUGGAUUAGGAAGUAAAAAGGAAGUAAUAAGUUUUUUUGAUAAUUUUUACUAGUAUGU